CUACCUACGGGACGCAGCAGUAGGGAAUCUUCCACAAUGGACGAAAGUCUGAUGGAGCAACGCCGCGUGAGUGAAGAAGGGUUUCGGCUCGUAAAGCUCUGUUGGUAGUGAAGAAAGAUAGAGGUAGUAACUGGCCUUUAUUUGACGGUAAUUACUUAGAAAGUCACGGCUAACUACGUGCCAGCAGCCGCGGUAAUACGUAGGUGGCAAGCGUUGUCCGGAUUUAUUGGGCGUAAAGCGAGUGCAGGCGGUUCAAUUAAUCUGAUGUGGAAAGCUU
Molecule: ribosomal RNA, 277 nt
Filed under: uncultured bacterium
Lineage: Bacteria
Description: partial 16S ribosomal RNA
Rfam family: Bacterial small subunit ribosomal RNA
Source: RNAcentral